AUUUAUAUAGUACAAACAGUAUACUUGACUUCCAAUCAAAUGGCCUAAUAACAUUAGUAUAAAUA
RNAcentral lists this transfer RNA (65 nucleotides) under Tetraphalerus bruchi. RNAcentral describes it as "tRNA-Gly". Lineage: Eukaryota; Metazoa; Arthropoda; Insecta; Coleoptera; Ommatidae. The record is from RNAcentral.